RNAcentral lists this ribosomal RNA (371 nucleotides) under uncultured bacterium. RNAcentral's name for it is "bacterial SSU rRNA". It matches the Rfam family "Bacterial small subunit ribosomal RNA", at positions 355 to 718 of the family's 1533-position model. The record is from RNAcentral.
GGGGGAAUUUUGGACAAUGGGGGCAAGCGUGAUCCAGCACAACGGCGGGCAGGAAGAAGGCCUUUGGGUGUUAAAAUGCUUUUGUCAGGGAAGAAAUAUUGUGGGGUAAUACCCCGGGAGGAUGACGGUACACGAAGAAUAUGCACCGGGUAAAUACGUGCCAGCGCCCGCGGUAAUAUGUAGGGUGCGAGAGUUAUUCUGAAUUAUUGGGGGUAAAACGUGCGCACGCGGGUUUGUAAAUCAGAUGUGAAAUCCCCGGGCUCUACCUGGGAGAUGCAUUUGUGGCUGCAAGGCUAGAGUACGGCAGCAGGGGAUGGAAUUCCGCGUGUAGCAGCGAAAAAAGUAGAUAUAUGGAGGAACGCCAAUGGCGA